Molecule: ribosomal RNA, 429 nt
Filed under: Chloroflexota bacterium
Lineage: Bacteria; Bacillati; Chloroflexota
Description: Chloroflexi bacterium partial 16S ribosomal RNA
Rfam family: Bacterial small subunit ribosomal RNA
Source: RNAcentral
UGGGGAAUAUUGCACAAUGGGCGCAAGCCUGAUGCAGCCAUGCCGCGUGUAUGAAGAAGGCCUUCGGGUUGUAAAGUACUUUCAGCGGGGAGGAAGGGAGUAAAGUUAAUACCUUUGCUCAUUGACGUUACCCGCAGAAGAAGCACCGGCUAACUCCGUGCCAGCAGCCGCGGUAAUACGGAGGGUGCAAGCGUUAAUCGGAAUUACUGGGCGUAAAGCGCACGCAGGCGGUUUGUUAAGUCAGAUGUGAAAUCCUCGGGCUCAACCUGGGAAAUGCAUCUGAUACUGGCAAGCUUGAGUCUCGUAGAGGGGGGUAGAAUUCCAGGUGUAGCGAUGAAAUGCGUAGAGAUCUGGAGGAAUACCGGUGGCGAAGGCGGCCCCCUGGACGAAGACUGACGCUCAGGUGCGAAAGCGUGGGGAGCAAACAGG